This 775-nucleotide ribosomal RNA is filed under the name uncultured Neocallimastigales. RNAcentral's name for it is "partial large subunit ribosomal RNA". It matches the Rfam family "Eukaryotic large subunit ribosomal RNA", at positions 22 to 628 of the family's 3401-position model. The record is from RNAcentral. Lineage: Eukaryota; Fungi; Neocallimastigomycota; Neocallimastigomycetes; Neocallimastigales.
GUACACGCUGUGACUAGCAUAUCAAUAAGCGGAGGAAAAGAAACUAACAAGGAUUCCCCUAGUAACGGCGAGUGAAGCGGGAAGAGCUCAAACUUGAAAUCUUAAAGGGUUUCCCUUUACGAAUUGUAGUUUAAAGAAGUGUUUUCUGUUGAGGUUUUGGUAAAAGUUCUUUGGAAUAGGACAUCAUAGAGGGUGAGAAUCCCGUAUUUGACCUUUACUUUCAACUUUGUGAUACACUUUCAAAGAGUCGGAUUGUUUGGGAAUGCAGUCCAAAAUGGGUGGUAAAUUUCAUCUAAAGCUAAAUAUUGGCGAGAGACCGAUAGCGAACAAGUACCGUGAGGGAAAGAUGAAAAGAACUUUGAAAAGAGAGUUAAACAGUACGUGAAAUUGUCAAAAGGGAAGCGUUUGACACCAGUGUUGUUUUUCUGAAAAUCAAUUAAAGAACUGUUUAUGCUAAGCUGUUUAGACUUUAUCAGCUAAUCUGUUUAGUUUUGAGCUUUUCUUUAAUGCACUUUUCAGUUAACAAGUCAACAUCAAUUUCUUUUGCUGUAAAAAAGCUUGAGGAAGGUGGCUUGAGAUUCGUCUUAAGUGUUUAUAGCCUCUUGCCUAUGCAGUCGGAGAGAUUGAGGUCUGCAGCGUAGAUCCUUCGGGGCUAAAUGCAUUUGUGCUAAGUUAUAGCAUUUUAUAGACAACUUGUUGACUAUGAUUUGUCUUGUAGCUUACUCGCUUAUGUUAUUUUACCUACGCUUAGGAUGUUGAGUCGUAGAGCACGCAG